RNAcentral lists this long non-coding RNA (4626 nucleotides) under Sus scrofa (pig). RNAcentral's name for it is "lncRNA (ENSSSCG00000054675.1)". The record is from RNAcentral. Lineage: Eukaryota; Metazoa; Chordata; Mammalia; Artiodactyla; Suidae.
CAGGAUUGACUUAAGGGACUAACAAGACUGUCAUCUGUGGCUAAAAACUACAGGAAUUAACAACACAGCUAACUGGUACCUUGGAGUUAGUGGUCAAAGGGAGAUGGGGAAGGAACUGAGCACGCAUCUGGGAGUCUUGAGAAGAAAUCUUGAAUGUGCACAAGGCGCUCAGCUGCUCUGUACCUAAGUGGGGAGGAGGCAACAUGAGAGUGGGGGGAAACACCUGGUGAGAACACCUGGCCACACAAACCGGGAGAACGUGACAAACGUGUGACUAAGAGGAACAGCAGCUCCUUCCACAAGUUACAAAUGCUAGAAUCUUACACGCUGAGAGAAAAUGAAAUCCUUUCGUGAACUCCCUGACAGGGUGCAGCAUAGGAGAUUGUCCGUCCUGUGCAGUAAUUGUCAUAAUUGCUUUUGGCUCUUCACACCUCCACCUCCUGCCCACACCAUCUCCCGCUCUCUAGCCUGAUCUCUACCUCGGCAUGCCUGGUGAGGCACUGUCUGAGCUCCAGUGUGCAUUAUGAACCAUGUAAUCAUAAAGUAUGAUGAGAGGUUGGAUAAUUGAGCAUCGGGUACAGUACAAGCUAUAUGGCUAGGGCACACUGCUUUAAAAGAAAAAAAUCUCAGGGUUGACAGCCAAGCAGUUAGAUGGCUUGAUGGGAUGCAAGUACAAGGUUUGAAUGAAGUUGUGGCCCUUGCAUUGCAGUCCUGGACCAGCAGCAGCAGCAUCACUUGUGAAAUUGUUAUACACGCAAAUUAUCAAGUCCCACCACUCAGCCCUGCUGAAUGAGAAACUCUGCAGGCUGGACCCAGCCACCUGUGCUUUACCAAAGCCCCCAGGUGAGUCUGAAGCAGACUCAAUUUGAGAACCAAUGGACGAAAAACAGAAAAGCUGAACAUCUGAGGAGCGUAACUCAAUGUCCCGCUUUCCAUGAGCACUUGGUCCAGUCAGACUUCAUUCUUUAGGCGGAUGAGCGCUUCCCUUUUGAAGGUGUCUUCAGAGACCAGGACCAGAGUGGACCUUGUCUGUUCAUUUGUUUAUUUUGGAUGUUCUUUGCAGAAAGCCACAUCUCACAGCUUGAUCACCAUAGCCAUCUCCAAAUGUGUUUUGUCAGGUUUUCAAUCUCAAAUUCAGUCUCAGAGGACAGAGGUGUCUGCUUGGAGGAUGUUCAAAAGAAUGUGCUUCAGGCCGUGACUUUGAGCUGCUGUCCCCCUGUCUUUUCUUGGUAUCCGUAAAUACAGCACACCUCUGGGACAGUCUGAGAAUGUGCUCUUCCAGGUAGGAUGGGGCCCAGCUACAGAUAACCUGACAGUCUCCAGGAGACACCAGAUUGCAGAUCAGAGGCCACAUACACCAAGAACGAGAUGCAUGACUUUUCCAGGGCUGCUCAACUUGCAUGAUUUGGAUUCUGAGGGUCGUUUUGACAGUGAAGCCCUGAAGCAGCUGCCGGAUUUCAACAGAGACAAAGUAAUGUAGGGAGGGUAAAAAUACCACUGAGAGAUUAUGGGUUGGUUUGGGAAGCAAGAUGUUACACAGGCUAAUGCCACAAAAUCCUACUCCAUUAAUUACGGCUAUCAACACUGCGUUUUUCUAUUUGGCCGUCACAGAGUUUCCCAGUGAAAUAUGGCUUACGUUUAAUGGACAUAUGAGAAACACCGAGAGGUGGCAAUGACCCAAACAUCCCUGGGCGGUGGAAGUUAGGCAGUAUGGCCGGACGUAAACAUAACCCAGAGAGAUGUUUUCAUGAGUUCCUGUUAAAGCAAUCGUAAUUGCCCUAUUUUUUAAACUUCCCAUGUGGCUGCCCCCUCCCAUUUUUGCAACAGCCAAGGCAGCAAGAACAAGGAGAGAGGUUUUUUCUGACCAGAUACCUUAACUAAUUUCUUAGAUUAGACCAAGAUGUUCACAUUCACCAAAAUGUCAAGCUAGGUAAAUUUUAUAUGUCCCAUGUCUCUGUUUCCCGUUGGAGAAAGAUUGGGAAUAAAUGUUAUUCUAAAUCAAUUACUUAGAGCAAUUGUUGUUUUUUUUCCCAAGGGGGCAAUAAAAAAGCCAUUGUUCUAACACCUUAUUCUAUUACACAUUGAGGAACUUCAGCAAGGACAGGGAAAGACACCAAAUUCAACUUUGCCUCGGGGAAUGAUUAGACACUGUGCUAGUCAAAAAAAUGCACUCAGCUCGAUUAACAGUCAACUGACUGAAGUCAUCUCAACACAUCAAGGUGCAUUUGUCUCACACAUAAGGAGCCUAGAGCAAAGCAGUUUGGGGUCAGAAAGAUGCCCUCAGGAACUCAAAUUCUUCUGUCUUCUUGGUCCACCAUUCUUGGUUUGUGCCAUUUGGUCUCACGGCAGCAACAGAGCUGUACCUGCAGACGAGGCAGCUCUCAUCACAAAGUUGGUCGCUUCAGCCACACAGAGAUUCACCUUACCCCAGGCAGUGGGAAACUAUCAAAAGUUCAUAUACAAUGAAAUAGCACAGUCACAUUUGGACUUUAGAGGGAUGCAGGGAAAGUGAAGGAGCUGAACUGGCGUUGGGGAGGCCAGGUGGGAGGAGAGAGAAGAUGACACUCUGAACCAGAAGGGAGACUCCAGGACGAGGGAGAAGGAGCAAGAUGGAAUAGGCCUGUCAACAGUCAGCUCAUUUGGGCAGAGUAAACUUUAAGACGUACGGCUGAGGGAGAACAAGCAGUUGAAGAUGACUCUAGGACCAGGGUAGCAAUUCAGACUAGCACAUUCGUUUAUUUUUUCACUUACACUUGACGGCCCAGAGUUGUUCAAAGGCUCUGUAUACCCAUUUGCCUUUCUCUUGUCCACUUCAUCUUUGACACCUGCCUGAGCUUGAAAGCUUUUGUGAUUGAGCACAAGGGGGUUUGGCUUGGCCAAAAGGAUGAAUGAUCGUGCCUCUAACUGAAGGAGUUAACACAGCAGAGGAGCGCGUCGGCAGGAGGAAGAUAAUUCAGGAUAGAGCUUCACCAAUAAAGAGAGGAGAGUGGUUUGGCAUGCCUGGGUCCAGGACUAGCUUAAACCUUGAUUUACUUUCUCAAUGACCUUGAGUCAGUUCCCUUGGCCUUCCAGUAGCUAUAAAGCAGAAGAAAACAUCCCCCGCCCUUGUGAAUAGCUCCCCAGAGCCACCAGGCUCAUAACAUUGAUUCUGGCCAGUACACAUUAAUCAGUGUCAUCCCUUCCUCUUUAUAGUCAUCUUUACGAGCCCUCGUUUCCCUGCACACUCAGCCCUCUAGACUCAGAAACUAUGUGUUGUUGACCCGGAUUCCCAGUGUUCCCCCCAAGCAGCACCGCCCUAUGAAAUCAAAACCAGCAGAGGAGAAAAGGCAAGUCCGGGUGUAUCGCGUUUCUCUGGGACCCACCAUCCAUGUCUCAAUAUGCAAGAAUUUUUAGAAAAAGUUCAGUGUUUAUUUUCACGGCUGCUCUAAAGACCUCUGGAAAUGCCAUAGAUAACCACAGCACCAAUAACUGUUUAAUUUAUUGCAUUUGCACAUGCAGAUGGAAAGAACCCAGUCUUGGCAGAAAGACAACUAUAAACAAAUGUAAAUUACAAAUCAGACAGUCAAAUUGGAAAUUGAAGUAGAAAACAUUCAAAUCCACCUAAUGUUUCCCAUUCCCAUGUAGUAUUAAGGUAUCAAAUUUUUUCCCCCACUAAUCUGAAAUCCCUCUGCAGUUAUUGAGCCUUUCUUUCUUCUCCUUAUGCAUUCAGCUUGUAAAACUAGGCCCUGGGGAUGCAAAGAUCAAGUAAGACACAGCCCCUGUUCAAACCUGUACCUUGUGCAAAGUUUAGAUGUUAAAAAAAAAUUUAGUGAGUAAAUGGGUUGAUUUAAUCUGUUAAAUUUCCUAAAACUUUUUUCUUUUGUGGGGGGUCAGGGGCUGUGGAGUUACUCUUUUCGGUGAGACAUUGUGAAUAAAUUGCAGUAGAGAGAAAUCAAGUUCUCUAUUUCCACCUCUGUAAUCACGCAUUUGGUCCCUGACUUCUGUCUCAAAUAUCCAUUUCUUUCCUCAAGCUCAAGGAUCUUGAUUAGGUCAAAUGUACAAGUUUAAAUAUCUAAACUAGAAGCAAACGGGUGAUAUUUUUUCUUCCAAGAGGCAUGGCUCUUGUUUCCUUCCACCUGCUAACAAGUAGUUGUAGCAGGUUUAGCUUCUGUUUGAAGUUAGAGCAGUGAAACGCAUGGGUUUUUUCAGCUUCCAGAGACCCUAAACCUGGUCCGUGUUACUGCCUCACUGGUAGUAACCCUUAACCUGUUGCUGUUCUCACUUAGAUCAGUCUAAUAAUCACGGGAUUGGUGUCUUUAUGUCCUCUCUUGCCCCUCCAUCCCAUUAUCCACAAUAUAAUCAAAGCGGGCUUUAUCUCCCAUUGCUCUUUGGAUAAAGACCUGCAUCCUUGCACCCAACACAUAGCCCUGCCCCCUUGUCUCCACACUUGGCUUGUACCAUGCCUCUCAUUCCCCGUCUGUGGGCUUACAUUGCCCCUACAUGUCUCUUGAAGCAAGAGUCACAGGAGCAAUUUUUGUUCUUUUAAAAUGGCUUGUCUGCUGUCUCCCUCACUUGAAAACAGUAAGAGAACAAUGACAACGUCUCUUUUGGUUCAUUGCUAGAUUUCUAGUGGCUGGCUUAAAGUCU